RNAcentral lists this ribosomal RNA (254 nucleotides) under uncultured Lactobacillus sp. RNAcentral describes it as "partial 16S ribosomal RNA". It matches the Rfam family "Bacterial small subunit ribosomal RNA", at positions 109 to 354 of the family's 1533-position model. Lineage: Bacteria; Bacillati; Bacillota; Bacilli; Lactobacillales; Lactobacillaceae. The record is from RNAcentral.
AGUAACACGUGGGCAACCUGCCCUGAAGCGGGGGAUAACAUCUGGAAACAGGUGCUAAUACCGCAUAACAACGAAAGCCACAUGGUUUUCGUUUCAAAGAUGGUUUCGGCUAUCACUUCAGGAUGGGCCCGCGGUGCAUUAGCUAGUUGGUAAGGUAACGGCUUACCAAGGCAAUGAUGCAUAGCCGAGUUGAGAGACUGAUCGGCCACAUUGGGACUGAGACACGGUCCAAACUCCUACGGGAGGCAGCAGGG